This 198-nucleotide unclassified non-coding RNA is filed under the name uncultured Exophiala. RNAcentral's name for it is "sequence contains ITS1". Lineage: Eukaryota; Fungi; Ascomycota; Eurotiomycetes; Chaetothyriales; Herpotrichiellaceae. The record is from RNAcentral.
ACGAGUUAGGGUCUUCCAAGGCCCGACCUCCCAACCCUAUGUUUAUUGUACCUUGUGUUGCUUCGGCGGGACCGUCUCACGACCGCCGGAGGGCCGUAAAACGUCCUCUGGCCCGCGCCCGCCGAUGGCCCCCCACACAAAAUUCUGAAUAAAAUCAUGCCUAAUUGUCUGAGUAUAAUACACAAAAAAUUAAAAGCA